RNAcentral lists this ribosomal RNA (630 nucleotides) under Pediococcus ethanolidurans. RNAcentral describes it as "bacterial SSU rRNA". It matches the Rfam family "Bacterial small subunit ribosomal RNA", at positions 165 to 782 of the family's 1533-position model. The record is from RNAcentral. Lineage: Bacteria; Bacillati; Bacillota; Bacilli; Lactobacillales; Lactobacillaceae.
AAUACCGCAUAACAAAAUUAACCGCAUGGUUGAUUUUUAAAAGAUGGCUUCGGCUAUCACUUCUGGAUGGACCCGCGGCGUAUUAGCUAGUUGGUGAGAUAAAGGCUCACCAAGGCAGUGAUACGUAGCCGACCUGAGAGGGUAAUCGGCCACAUUGGGACUGAGACACGGCCCAGACUCCUACGGGAGGCAGCAGUAGGGAAUCUUCCACAAUGGACGCAAGUCUGAUGGAGCAACGCCGCGUGAGUGAUGAAGGCUUUCGGGUCGUAAAACUCUGUUGUUGGAGAAGAACGUGUGUGAGAGUAACUGCUCAUGCAGUGACGGUAUCCAACCAGAAAGCCACGGCUAACUACGUGCCAGCAGCCGCGGUAAUACGUAGGUGGCAAGCGUUAUCCGGAUUUAUUGGGCGUAAAGCGAGCGCAGGCGGUCUUUUAAGUCUAAUGUGAAAGCCUUCGGCUUAACCGAAGAAGUGCAUUGGAAACUGGGAGACUUGAGUGCAGAAGAGGAGAGUGGAACUCCAUGUGUAGCGGUGAAAUGCGUAGAUAUAUGGAAGAACACCAGUGGCGAAGCGGCUCUCUGGUCUGCAACUGACGCUGAGGCUCGAAAGCAUGGGUAGCGAACAGGAUUAGA